Molecule: unclassified non-coding RNA, 344 nt
Filed under: Hevea brasiliensis (rubber tree)
Lineage: Eukaryota; Viridiplantae; Streptophyta; Magnoliopsida; Malpighiales; Euphorbiaceae
Source: RNAcentral
CUAGUACAAAAGCAACCAUGACACCAAAAGCUCCAAAGCAGCCAAAAUACAACGCAGCAAAAGACAGCACAAAGCCAUUACAAAUCCAAGAAAAUGAACAAACAUGAGAAAAGGAAACAAAAAUCCAAAAGGCAGCAACAUGAGUAAGAAAAAUAACCAAAACAUCAGGCUUCCAAAAUGAAACAAGAUCCGAAUCGGAUGGGCAAACAUGAAGGCUCCACCACCCAAUUCAAACAAAAAAGUGACAUGAGUUCUUUAUGCAACUACGCACCAGAUGAUGAGAGACGAACCCAAAAAACUCAAGCUAAGCUUCACAACCAUGCCACAAAGUUAUGAGAUCUAAG